Molecule: ribosomal RNA, 490 nt
Filed under: uncultured bacterium
Lineage: Bacteria
Description: partial 16S ribosomal RNA
Rfam family: Bacterial small subunit ribosomal RNA
Source: RNAcentral
AUUGAACGCUGGCGGCAGGCCUAACGCAUGCAAGUCGAACGGUAACAGGAAGAAGCUUGCUUCUUUGCUGACGAGUGGCGGACGGGUGAGUAAUGUCUGGGAAACUGCCUGGUGGAGGGGGAUAACUACUGGAAACGGUAGCUAAUACCGCAUAACGUCGCAAGACCAAAGAGGGGGACCUUCGGGCCUCUUGCCAUCGGAUGUGCCCAGAUGGGAUUAGCUAGUAGGUGGGGUAACGGCUCACCUAGGCGACGAUCCCUAGCUGGUCUGAGAGGAUGACCAGCCACACUGGAACUGAGACACGGUCCAGACUCCUACGGGAGGCAGCAGUGGGGAAUAUUGCACAAUGGGCGCAAGCCUGAUGCAGCCAUGCCGCGUGUAUGAAGAAGGCCUUCGGGUUGUAAAGUACUUUCAGCGGGGAGGAAGGGAGUAAAGUUAAUACCUUUGCUCAUUGACGUUACCCGCAGAAGAAGCACCGGCUAACUCCGUG